RNAcentral lists this long non-coding RNA (223 nucleotides) under Sorghum bicolor (sorghum). RNAcentral's name for it is "long non-coding RNA (SBIC_LNC007953)". The record is from RNAcentral. Lineage: Eukaryota; Viridiplantae; Streptophyta; Magnoliopsida; Poales; Poaceae.
GCCGUGACCAAGUGGGCCGGCUGUGUAGCACAGUGUGUUUUCUUUUUUUCCUUUUUGUUUAAAAAUACUUGAUAUGUGAAAUUGUGUAGAAAACUGUAUACUGCUUCAAAAAUCAAGGAAAUUUUUGUAUAGAUUCCCUAAAAUGAGUAGAACACAGAAAAAAUAUUAGCUUCUAUUUUCUAGUAGUUUGCAUGUAUAUAAAAAUUGCCUCUUUUAAUUGGUA